RNAcentral lists this ribosomal RNA (425 nucleotides) under uncultured bacterium. RNAcentral's name for it is "partial 16S ribosomal RNA". It matches the Rfam family "Bacterial small subunit ribosomal RNA", at positions 354 to 796 of the family's 1533-position model. The record is from RNAcentral.
GUGGGGAAUAUUGGACAAUGGGCGAAAGCCUGAUCCAGCCAUGCCGCGUGAGUGAUGAAGGCCCUAGGGUUGUAAAGCUCUUUCACCGGGGAAGAUAAUGACGGUACCAGGAGAAGAAGCCCCGGCUAACUUCGUGCCAGCAGCCGCGGUAAUACGAAGGGGGCUAGCGUUGUUCGGAAUUACUGGGCGUAAAGCGCACGUAGGCGGAUCAGUCAGUUAGGGGUGAAAUCCCAGGGCUCAACCCUGGAACUGCCUUUAAUACUGCUGAUCUAGAGUUCGAGAGAGGUGAGUGGAAUUCCGAGUGUAGAGGUGAAAUUCGUAGAUAUUCGGAGGAACACCAGUGGCGAAGGCGGCUCACUGGCUCGAUACUGACGCUGAGGUGCGAAAGCGUGGGGAGCAAACAGGAUUAGAAACCCCAGUAGACC